Molecule: non-coding RNA, 806 nt
Organism: Meleagris gallopavo (turkey)
Lineage: Eukaryota; Metazoa; Chordata; Aves; Galliformes; Phasianidae
Source: RefSeq, a predicted model, not a curated record
GCUUCCUCCAAAUGAAACUCCAGGCAGAGUUUAGACAGGCAGAACGUAAUUACCCAAACUGGAAUUUGGCCAGAGCACUGCAGACUCGGCAGUGAUUGAAAUAACUAAACAGAGGAAAAGAAAACUGUUGGUUUUAUUAGAGCGAGUUUCAAGGUCUGUCUGUUUGUGCACAGUCCAAAUCUCCGACAGCUCAGCUCAGGGUUUGUACCAUCAGGAGAACGGAAGAGCUGGCAAGCUGAGACACUACCAGUACUUUGUGGAAACCGACAUAUGAAUUUGUUCUACAAAUGUGCCAGGGACACACUGAUCCAACAGUUAGAUCACUUCCAGAAGACACCAAGUUAGAUCUCCGAGUUCACUUCCAAUUGCUGACUACUACUAUCCAAUAAAAGGAAAUUUCUGCAUAAAGUAAACAAGUUGGAAAAGUUCUGGGCUUUCAUCGAUAACUUCCCAGUUUGACAACGAGACCCUCAUGACCCAGCAGUGAGUCCCAGUUCCCACCUGGGUGCCUCUGGAGAGUGACAAAUCUCUUGGAUUUGCUCUCACAACCCAGAAGCACAGGCCAGGAACAUCUGUCUGUUCCUUCCCUUCCUUCAGACUGCCCUGAGGAGAAGGGAGGCAGGCAAGUAAGGAUAUGAAAGGCAAAGGCUCAACUGGCCAUGUUACAUUAGCCAACUCAAAUAAUUCCUCUUGGCUGUGGAAACAGCCUUCCCAUCCAAAGCUGUCUUUUUUUUCUUUUUUCUUUUUUUUCCUUUUUUUCCCCCCAAAAACAAGAACAACUUAUUUCCAAUUUUGGGCAGGUUCCU